GACGAACGCUGGCGGCGUGCUUAACACAUGCAAGUCGAACGGAAAGGCCCUGCUUUUGUGGGGUGCUCGAGUGGCGAACGGGUGAGUAACACGUGAGUAACCUGCCCUUGACUUUGGGUUAACUUCAGGAAACUGGGGCUAAUACCGGAUAGGAGCUCCUGCUGCAUGGUGGGGGUUGGAAAGUUUCGGCGGUUGGGGAUGGACUCGCGGCUUAUCAGCUUGUUGGUGGGGUAGUGGCUUACCAAGGCUUUGACGGGUAGCCGGCCUGAGAGGGUGACCGGCCACACUGGGACUGAGAUACGGCCCAGACUCCUACGGGAGGCAGCAGUGGGGAAUAUUGCACAAUGGGCGGAAGCCUGAUGCAGCAACGCCGCGUGCGGGAUGACGGCCUUCGGGUUGUAAACCGCUUUCGCCUGUGACGAAGCGUGAGUGACGGUAAUGGGUAAAGAAGCACCGGCUAACUACGUG
Molecule: ribosomal RNA, 468 nt
Filed under: uncultured bacterium
Lineage: Bacteria
Description: partial 16S ribosomal RNA
Rfam family: Bacterial small subunit ribosomal RNA
Source: RNAcentral